This is a long non-coding RNA of Malaclemys terrapin pileata, 1334 nucleotides long. RefSeq lists it as uncharacterized. The record is from RefSeq and is a predicted model, not a curated record. NCBI's taxonomy places the organism in Eukaryota, Metazoa, Chordata, Testudines, Emydidae. The transcript has 2 exons.
UCAGUCGUGGGGACGAAGGCUGAGGGGGGACAAGGGAGUUGGGUCAGGCCUUUUGGAUCCUCCCCCCCCAGAGCAGAGUGCUGAAGCCCCCUCCCUGAGCUCAGGGGAAAGGCAGGGUGGGAGCUCCAGGAAUGAACUCGGCCUGCCAGGAAGCCGGGACUCCAGCCCUGCCACAGGGCACAGAGUUCAGCCAAGCCGAACCCUGUGCUGAGCACAGAGGAUGCACCUGUUUCCUGAGCAGGUGACCGACCUGUCAAAGAAGCUUUGAUGUAAAGUUGGUGCCCUGAUCAGUCAGGACUUCCCGGGGGAGGCCUACCUGGGCAAAUAUUAUCAAGAAUUCUGCAGCAAUGGUUCAUGUGUUGUGAUGUUUUGGAGAGGGACUGCUUCUGGGAAGUGGGUGGCAUAAUCUAAAACCACCUGGAUAUACCUGAAUCUCAUGACACUCUUCGUGAUGGGUCCCCAAGAGGUCCAUGGCGAUCCUCUCAAACAGGGUGCCAAUCACCAGCAAGAGAACGAGGGGUGCCCUCUGUACUCCCCGGGGACUGCAAGCUGGCAUUCGGGACAGGAGUCGGAGAAAUCUUUCACCUCCCGGUGCACCCCGGGCCAGAAGAACCAGGCCACAACUCUCACUAGUGUUUUCUCAUGACCCAGUGGACGACUGCUGGAACAUCAUGGAUGAGUUGCAAGAUCGCAUAUUAGUGCCACGAGGGGUAAUGUAGUAAGAGGAGGCCCUGAGAUAUAAACCUUGGUAUCAGAGGCCUAGUAUGAGGCCUAAGGCCUGAACUAAAGUAAUGGUCAAGACUUUGCUAAUAUGAAGCAAAGUUAAGCUGUGAGCAAGAGGCAGGCCCUGCUCACAGAAGUUGGCAAGGAAAGGGCUGAUGUUGCAGAAAUACAUAUUCAUUUAGCAUAGUUACAGUAUAAACAUGGUACCAAGACAUACCAUACCGGAACAUUCCACAGAUAACAUGGAACAGGCCGACCCAUCCCAAUGACAGGGGCAAAAGGGUAAAAUGACGGAUAGAGUUGUUUUGAUCGAACCAACAUGUACAAGGUGAGAGGCGGCACCUUACUACAUAGAGGGGUUGUACCUUGCUACGUAUAGGGGUUGAACCUCAAUACGUCAGGAGUGAUGUGUAACUUGUUCGUAUCUGUGUAUAAGAAUGCAUCCCUGAAUGGAUGUCUUUGUCCGGCCACGGGGGCAGUGGAAAUCCCGCCACUGAGCCGGGUCCUUGCCAAGAGGCAUCUAUUAGUAGUAUGCCCGGUAGACUAAGUAAUCUACGGGGAACUGCAAUUGUGUCCGAGAUCGCAAUAAACCUGGCCGAGGUGCCUUUGUA